GAAAAGAAAAAAGAACACAAAAGAAACUUACAAAAGAACAAAGGGUUUUGUCUAGGUUCGAUUUAGGUUGAUUGGUUGGUGAUGUAGUGGAGGCUAGAAUUCUGGUUUGAUUUCAGGCAAAGGGUGGCUAGAGUUGCUGGUUUAUAGAGGAGAUGAGGCAAAGAGAGUGAUUGUUUUUCUUGGUUAUGGUGGCUGUUACAUGGGUCUACUUUAAACUCUAUUGGAGUUAUUUGAUUGUUGUGGGGUUGUUCAACAGCGUGGUGGCUGGAUGUGAAGAUGCUGUCGUGACUGGUCAACAGUGGGUGGUUGUUGUCUGUAGACGGUGGCAUGACCGUGGCUACUGUUCUGGAGGUGGUGGCAUGGCUUUGGUUGCUAAUCCGGGGAGGAUGAAUAGUGACUAGGGUUUCAGGGAGGAUGAAAUGAUUUUUGUCUGAAAAGAGAGAAAUCGUGAGGAGUCUUGCUAUUAGACAAAUAACUGAUUGAUAAUUGGUGAAUUUAUAUGCAAUUUCUAUCUUUUGAUUGAAGUAGUCUAUUGUCUUUUGAUGGGGACAAAUAUGAGAUGAAAAGAAAGAAGGGAAGGGACAGAAGGAAAGAAUAAAGGGGAAGAGAUUGAAUAAAAGGACGAUAUAUAAAUGUUUUGACAAGUUUAAGGACUCAACCUGCGAAUGGCCAAAAAAAAAAGAAGAAGAAAAACUAUAUGAAUUAAAAUGCACUCCUGCUGAGGAAUGGCUGAAACGCUGGUGUAGAGAGGUUUGCUGCUCACGUUGCUAGGCUGAGAGUUGCUGGUCUGCUUGACAGAGGAAAACCACAGGCUGCACUGUUGCCAAUAGUGAAGUCUGCUCACAGGUUGUAUCCUAGGACUGCUAUCAUGACUGAAGCUCAUGGUGGAAAUGAGAGGAGCUUCCUGGUGUAGAGUGAUUAGUACGGUGAGAGAUGGUGGUGCUCACGGUGCAAAAAAUGAGAUUCUACCGCAACUGGUGAAUAUUCUAUUAGAGUUCAUGGAUGUUGUGUGAGGUGACUGGUGGCAACACUACCAUGGCGGCUGGUGUUGGGGUGGAGACUGACCCUGGGGAGGAGCUCCUGGUGAAAAAGAAAAAACUCUGCUACAGUUGAGAAAUGGUGUGCCUGAUAAAGAACAAUCUCUGCUGCUGUUGGAAGGAGGAGCUCCACUGCUCACAGUUGAAACAAUUGUCGAUGCUGAAAGGAUGAAGGCUGAGCUGCUGUUGGAAAAUCCUUCACUGUUGCUGGAACGGUUGAAGAUGAAUAAAGGCUGACUGUGCUGCUGCUGAAGCUGCUGGUCUAGCUAAUUCUCUUGUUGUUGUUCACAAUGUUGUUGCUGUGAGUGGAGUCUCUCUGUUGGAACAAGAAAAACAAAGUUGCUGUGAACAGAGGAGAGGGGGUAGACGUUGCUUGGCGGCUGGACGUGACUGAUGCUGAAAACCUCUGCUACUUCUCACGGCUGACAGAAGAGAAGCUGGCCUGACUAAAAAGAAGACUCCUGCUCACGGUGCGGAAGACUGGCAGCUGUGAGGGAGAGAAGGCUUCUUGUUUUUCUUGGAAAGGAGGAGGUCGUAUUUUUGUACUUGAUGUUUUACGGGAGAGAGGGGUAUCUUCUUGUU
This is a long non-coding RNA of Populus euphratica (Euphrates poplar), 1619 nucleotides long. RefSeq lists it as uncharacterized. NCBI's taxonomy places the organism in Eukaryota, Viridiplantae, Streptophyta, Magnoliopsida, Malpighiales, Salicaceae. The record is from RefSeq and is a predicted model, not a curated record. The transcript is spliced from 2 exons.